Molecule: ribosomal RNA, 234 nt
Filed under: uncultured Actinomycetales bacterium
Lineage: Bacteria; Bacillati; Actinomycetota; Actinomycetes; Actinomycetales
Description: partial 16S ribosomal RNA
Rfam family: Bacterial small subunit ribosomal RNA
Source: RNAcentral
CGAACGGGUGAGUAACAUGUGAGUAACCUGCCCACAACUUUGGGAUAACGCUAGGAAACUGGUGCUAAUACUGGAUAUGUGCUCCUGCUGCAUGGUGGGGGUUGGAAAGCUCCGGCGGUUGUGGAUGGACUCGCGGCCCAUCAGCUUGUUGGUGGGGUAGUGGCCUACCAAGGCGGCGACGGGUAGCCGGCCUGAGAGGGUGACCGGCCACAUUGGGACUGAGAUACGGCCCAG